GGCCGACUAGCUCAGCUGGUUAGAGCGUCGUGCUAAUAUCAUACUUGAGGAUAUCAACGCGAAGGUCUUGGGUUCGAUCCCCACGUUGGCCA
This is a non-coding RNA of Paramarasmius palmivorus, 92 nucleotides long. The record is from the annotation of a GenBank genome assembly. Lineage: Eukaryota; Fungi; Basidiomycota; Agaricomycetes; Agaricales; Marasmiaceae.